UGAACCAAGACAAAUAAUGAUAAGUCAUACCAUGUGGUUCUUGCGAAAAUGUUAGCUUUGCACGUAAGGUAUGUUCUGAUCCACCAACAAUCUGGUGCACAUUGAAUCUAUACUAUUAGCAUUUAAUGGUUGAUACGCUCACUAGACAUUCAUAAGAGAAUAAAAAAUCAUGCCUUUUUUAAGCCCCAUUCAAUUCUCUUAUUUGCUUCCCUGAAGUCGGUUGUGUUUCCAACUGCACCAGGUUCCAACUCA
Molecule: long non-coding RNA, 252 nt
Organism: Telopea speciosissima
Lineage: Eukaryota; Viridiplantae; Streptophyta; Magnoliopsida; Proteales; Proteaceae
Exons: 2
Source: RefSeq, a predicted model, not a curated record